Molecule: long non-coding RNA, 1796 nt
Organism: Juglans microcarpa x Juglans regia
Lineage: Eukaryota; Viridiplantae; Streptophyta; Magnoliopsida; Fagales; Juglandaceae
Exons: 3
Source: RefSeq, a predicted model, not a curated record
UCGCGAGGAGUAUUAAGGCUCACCAUCAAUCUGCUCCAGCGAAUUCCACCUCAGAGCAGGAUUCUAACAAACACGACUCCAAGGCAGCAGAUGCACUAACAAACUCUGCACAAAGGAAUAUUGCAGAUGAUUCUAGAAGGCUCGUACAGUGCUGAGAUCUACUGUACGGUUCUCGAUCAUUUUCUCUCGCUUUUGACAGUCGCCCUCUCUCUUUCUCUCUGCUUCGCCAGGUACUCUCUUCCUAUCUCUCUCCGUCUUAGGGUUUUAAUUGGAACUUUUUUUUUUCUCUGUUUUUUGGCUUUUAAUCUCAUUGAAAUUAAUUGGGUUUGUUUAAAAGAAAAGGUAGGGAAGGUAGAAGUUAGAAAAUAAAAUGGAUUUUCUGGUGCUUGGUAUUGUAGAGUUUUUAACCCGCUAAAGUGCGAGUCUCCACCCAUUGUGGUAUUACUAUUAGGCUAGGUUGAACUAAACUCUGAUUUUUUAGGUAGAUGCAUUUCUGUUGUUCUAUUCAUGGAUUUAUCGAUGUGAAUGAUUCAUCGCGAGAUUUAUAAAAUUCACUGCUUGAUUUUAUGCAUUGGAUUAAAGAUGUUUUUCACUUGGUAGAAGUACGUAGUUUGUCUAAUGUGAGUUUCUAAAGGAGAAAAUUGAGAUGGCUUUCAGGGCAUUUGGAGUUUGAAUUAGUUUAGACUUAGUCGAUAUUCUUAGGGCUUUAUGCUUUGUCGAGGUCCUUAUGCGCGAGCCCCCACAAGAGUGCCGACUGGAAAUAAUGUUACUAUCGAUAAUAACGGUACAGAGUUUACUUUUUUGGUGUAUUUCUAGAAAAGUCACUGAAAGAUCUAUGAGGAUAGGGAGGGAAAACAAAUGAGGUUAUGGAAAUUGUCCCUUUCUCGAAUUCCCCGCCCAAAAAAAAAAAAAAGAGUUGUGUGAUGGUGUUUUUUAACUGCGUUUUUUGAUAGGGAUAUUGAACUACAUUAGAUGAUAUUCAAUUCAUUAAAAAGUAAUUGGCUAGGCAGUAUUCAAAUUGUUGUAUUGCUCACUUAGACUAUUCAUGGCGAGAAAUAGCAUAGUUUCCAGUGCUAGAGCUGUGAAGAUAACUUUAUUGGUGCUUUCUUUUUAUAUGAAGUACCUAAGUAGUAUGUAUGAGGAAAGAAAAGCAAAGGAAGUGAAAAGAUAGGGCUGCUGUGAUAUUGCCCAAAGAUUAUUUAUUGUGGGUGUCUGCUAGAUCAAAGUUAAUUUAUUUUCUCCAUUUUGGAUGAAGUUGACCUAAGUAAAUAUAAAGACAGUGUGUGCAAAAGCACACUAUGCAGGUGAAGGAGGGCAUGCCAUGAUCUAGUAUGAGGUAUAUUUAUCAUCCUAGUUGGCUUAAUCGAUAGAUGGGUCAAGUUGUACAAGUGCUGCUUAUUUUGAGAUUGGAAUUGACUGAGCAAACAUAAAUGCUUUUCUUUUUAGAGUUAUAUUUGACGGUAGAGCUUCCUAUGCAUUACUUAGAUUCUCACUUUUUAUACUCCACAUAUGUUGCUGAUGCUUUACUGCACAAAGACAAGACACAUCAUUAUCAGGCUGCCCAGCCUGAAGCGGUGCCUGUGCCAGUUUCGUCUCGGUACUCUUUUGCUGGUCUAUCAUUCCUACACCACUGACUGAAUUUGCAUCUUUAACAUACGUAUCCAUUUGUAUUUGGACUUCUGUUUAUUGGCACCUGAUGUGCAUAUGAGGCACUCUUCAGUUGCAUAAUGUAUGGAUGAGGGAACAGUUUUGGGUUCCAAAUUUGUACAGAACUGUGUAAGCGGCAUUUUGGUACC